Molecule: small nuclear RNA, 19 nt
Filed under: Arabidopsis thaliana (thale cress)
Lineage: Eukaryota; Viridiplantae; Streptophyta; Magnoliopsida; Brassicales; Brassicaceae
Description: snRNA_03951
Source: RNAcentral
UGGUUUACACUUAGCGAUC